This 72-nucleotide transfer RNA is filed under the name Cyprinus carpio (common carp). It matches the Rfam family "tRNA". From Rfam's summary of the family: Transfer RNA (tRNA) molecules are approximately 80 nucleotides in length. Their secondary structure includes four short double-helical elements and three loops (D, anti-codon, and T loops). Lineage: Eukaryota; Metazoa; Chordata; Actinopteri; Cypriniformes; Cyprinidae. RNAcentral also lists the same sequence under 1 other name. The record is from Rfam by way of RNAcentral.
CGAGCUAUCGUCUAACGGUUAGGACAUUAGAUUUUCACUCUAAGAAUGCCAGUUCGAAUCUGGCUAGCUUGA